This 2129-nucleotide long non-coding RNA is filed under the name Arabidopsis lyrata. Its description in RNAcentral is "long non-coding RNA (ALYR_LNC001153)". Lineage: Eukaryota; Viridiplantae; Streptophyta; Magnoliopsida; Brassicales; Brassicaceae. The record is from RNAcentral.
CUGCGGCAAGGAGGAGAAUCCUCCGGCGGAUAAUCCAUGGAUCUUGCCUCAUUCUUGCGGCGAGGUCUGCGAGAGGCCGUUGAGCAACAACUGUGGUCACUGUUGCUUGCUCUGGUGUCAUCCUGGACCUUGUGCUUCCUGUCCCAAGCUCGUGAAAGCUAAAUGCUUCUGCGGCGGUGUUGAAGAUGUUCGUCGAUGUGGACACAAGCAAUUCUCUUGCGGAGACGUCUGCGAGAGAGUCCUGGAUUGUGAUAUCCAUAACUGUAGAGAGAUUUGUCAUGUGGCAAGUGUCCACCGUGCAGAUAACGCGCGGUUUACAAGUGCUGUUGUGGUAAGGAGAAGGAGGAGAAUGAUUGUUGCGAGAGAGUCUUUAGGUGUGAGGCUUCUUGUGAGAAUAUGCUUAAUUGUGGCAAACAUUUAUACGGGAGAGGAUGUCACUCGGGAGAAUGUGGAUUGUGUCCAUAUCAGGGAAAGAGGAGUUGUCCCUGUGGCAAGAGAUUCUACCAAGGCUUGUCUUGUGAUGUUGUGGCGCCUUUAUGUGGUGGCACCUGUGAUAAAGUUCUUGGUUGUGGCUACCAUAGGUGUCCAGAGAGGUGCCACCGCGGUUCAUGCCUUGAGACUUGCAGGAUUGUGCUUACUAAGUCUUGCAGAUGCGGGGGCACGAAAGAGCAGGUGAAAGAGAGCCUUUUUGAUACUUCAUGAUGCUUUGUUAUAGUUAAAUCAAAUGUUGAUGGAAAGAUUUUUGGGAACUUAAUUUAGAGUAGGUUCCUUGCCAUCAAGAGUUGGCGUGUGAGAGGAAAUGCCAGAGAGUGAGAGAUUGUGCACGUCAUGCUUGUAGACGCCGAUGUUUUGAUGGUGAAUGUCCACCAUGCUCAGAGGUAUGCUGUGUCUCAUGGUCCAGUCUAGUGACAUUGUUCACACUUGGCUUCUACUUUUUUUCGUUUGAAAUUUUCAGAUUUGUGGAAAAAGACUCCGUUGCAGGAAUCAUACAUGCUCUGGACUUUCUUUGUCCUUCUGGUGUCAACUUUGGAACUAUAAGACUGAUUAAACAUUGUGUAUUGUAAGAUAUCAACUCAUACACAUGGAAUAACAUUACUUGUUGUGUGUUCAUUGCAGAGUUCCAUGUGCUCCUUGUCCAAUAAUGGUAACAAUAUCUUGUGCUUGUGGUAAGACGCAUUUUGAGGUGAGAAUUAGGAUUUGAACGUGAAUAUGGCUUCCUACUAUCAAGUCGUGAUAUAUAUAGUCUUGUUACUUUUAUUUUUAUGGUGGAUCUAUAGAAAAUUUUUAAUUUUGUGUAGAUGCAUCUGAUAGAAGCAGGAGAUGUUACUGACAUCUAACAAGCGAGACUAUCAGCUUAAACUUACUAAAAUCUCUUCGGAAAAAAUGAUCUUGAGGCCUUGUUUGGUCUAAGCCUGAGAACCAGAUCUGAUGACUUUAUGCCUACUGUUAUAAUAUUUUCUUUGCUUCUUCUUUUUGUGUCCAUAGGCUUUUAAUUGUUUGCUACUUCUAAUAGAUUCUGGUCCUUUGAUAGAAAAUCUGGUACCGUAUGUGAAACCUGUAUUAACAACGCAGUUGGAUGUUUUAUGUUGUUCAGGUACCUUGUGGCACUGAAACAAAUCAGAAACCUCCUUGUGGUAGUUCACAUGUUCCCAAGCUUCAUUUUUUACAUUUUCUGAAUAACAUUAUUAGAAAACCACACUCUUGAAACUAGAGGAUAUUGUUGUUGCAGAAAAUUGCCAAACUGUACCCAUUUGUGUCCGGAGAUAUGUCAUCCUGGGCAGUGUCCAUCGCCAGAACAGUGUGGUAAAGAGGUAUUACUUCCAAGACUCCAUGAUGCAACUGCGUUGUAAAGAUAUCCGCCUGCGAGUUUAUAUCCAUUUGGGAUGUUGUCUCUGGUACAAAUGUGAUCUUACUUGUCUCGAUUUUUGUAUGGAUCAAGGUGGUUGUUAGUUGCAAGUGCCUAACCUUGAAGAAGGAAUGGGUAUGCCAAGAUGUUCAAGCAGCUCAUAGGGCCACAGGUUCUGACCCUAAAGAAGUACCAAAGAACCAGUUCGGUGUUGACCCUUGCGAUUCCAACUGUACAGAUGGCUGAAUCGGUGUUAAAGCAGCGCAAUGUCAAAGAGAUUGAG